UUGAGAGUUUGAUCCUGGCUCAGAACGAACGCUGGCGGCAGGCCUAACACAUGCAAGUCGAGCGCACCCUUGAACUUCGGUUCUCUGGGCGAGCGGCGGACGGGUUAGUAACGCGUGGGAACGUACCCUUUUCUACGGAAUAGCCAUUGGAAACGAUGAGUAAUACCGUAUACGCCCUUCGGGGGAAAGAUUUAUCGGAGAAGGAUCGGCCCGCGUUAGAUUAGAUAGUUGGUGGGGUAAUGGCCUACCAAGCCGACGAUCCAUAGCUGGUCUGAGAGGAUGAUCAGCCACACUGGGACUGAGACACGGCCCAGACUCCUACGGGAGGCAGCAGUGGGGAAUAUUGGACAAUGGGGGCAACCCUGAUCCAGCGAUGCCGCGUGAGUGAUGAAGGCCUUAGGGUUGUAAAACUCUUUCAGGGGUGAAGAUAAUGACGGUAACCCCAGAAGAAGCUCCGGCUAACUCCGUGCCAG
This 473-nucleotide ribosomal RNA is filed under the name Fragilariopsis kerguelensis. RNAcentral describes it as "partial Bacterial small subunit ribosomal RNA". It matches the Rfam family "Bacterial small subunit ribosomal RNA", at positions 1 to 511 of the family's 1533-position model. The record is from RNAcentral. Lineage: Eukaryota; Bacillariophyta; Bacillariophyceae; Bacillariales; Bacillariaceae.